Molecule: ribosomal RNA, 747 nt
Filed under: Molema tenuicostata
Lineage: Eukaryota; Metazoa; Mollusca; Gastropoda; Stylommatophora; Camaenidae
Description: partial 16S ribosomal RNA
Source: RNAcentral
CACGAAGUUCAAGGAGCUAAUUAUUAUAUGUUCUUAGACUUUAAGUGUGUAGUAUAACAUAUAAUUAGUAAUAAUUAGGGGUGAAAGGCUUAACAAAUUGAACGAUAACUUGAUUUUAUUAAAAUGUAUUAAGUACAAUUAACAAACUUGGAGUUAUAAGGCCCCAAGUAGGAAUUAAUAAUUUAAAAUUGUAUAUAUAAAGUUUAAUAGCAAAUAUAUUAAUAUAAAAAUAUUGGACUGUAUAGGUUAUUGUGAAUAAAUAAAAAUAGGUAAAUUAUAUGUUCUAUUUAUUAUGUUUAUAUUAGUAUUAGAUUAAGUAAGAAUAAUGAACUCGGCAAUAACAUUCUCAACUGUUUAUCAAAAACAUAGCUGGUUGAUAAUAUAAUCGGUAAUUUCUGCUCGGUGAUUUAUUUAACAGCCGCAGUACCCUGACUGUGCAAAGGUAGCGCAAUCAAUUGACUUUUAAUUGAAGUCCUGUAUGAAGAAUUUAUGGGAGUGGACUAUAUUAUUUAUAUAAUUAAAAUUUACUUAGUAGGUGCAAAAACCUACAAAAAAAUAAUAGACGAGAAGACCCUAGAAAUUUUAAGAAUUGUGCUAAAGAGUCUUUUUGUUGGGGCAACAUAGUAGUGAAUAAUCCUACAUAAUAGACAUAAAAUUAAUUAAGAUGAGAAAAUUACUCUAGGGAUAACAGCAUAAUUUAUUAAAGUUUGUGACCUCGAUGUUGGACUAGGAAGUUAGCGUUUAGAA